Long non-coding RNA from Ornithodoros turicata, 190 nucleotides. RefSeq lists it as uncharacterized. The transcript is spliced from 3 exons. Lineage: Eukaryota; Metazoa; Arthropoda; Arachnida; Ixodida; Argasidae. The record is from RefSeq and is a predicted model, not a curated record.
GCUCCGUGAAGUUUUAAGUGUUUGGAAGUGCAUCUAGUGUUUGGUCUUUGGCCGACUGUACCCCCGCAAAGCAAAGCCAGCCGUGUGGACAGUGAAGAAGCAGAUAUUGCACGCUGAAAACAUCACCUCAUCACAGAUGCAUCGUGCACUGACACUAUCUUGUGGUCUCCAGAGACGAGUACAACCUGCG